UCACCUGAGCCAAGAAAUAAACC
This 23-nucleotide non-coding RNA is filed under the name Cricetulus griseus (Chinese hamster). Lineage: Eukaryota; Metazoa; Chordata; Mammalia; Rodentia; Cricetidae. The record is from RNAcentral.